UACAGAGGGUGCGAGCGUUAAUCGGAAUUACUGGGCGUAAAGAGUACGUAGGUGGUUAAAUCAGUCGGAUGUGAAAGCCCCGGGCUUAACUUGGGAAUUGCAUUCGAUACUGUUUGACUAGAGUACGGUAGAGAGAAGCGGAAUUCCUAGUGUAGCGGUGAAAUGCGUAGAUAUUAGGAAGAACACCAGUGGCGAAGGCGGCUUCUUGGAUCGAUACUGACACUGAGGUACGAAAGCGUGGGGAGCAAACAGG
Molecule: ribosomal RNA, 253 nt
Filed under: uncultured bacterium
Lineage: Bacteria
Description: partial 16S ribosomal RNA
Rfam family: Bacterial small subunit ribosomal RNA
Source: RNAcentral